AAGAGGGAAACAACCCAGACCGCCAGCUAAGGUCCCAAAGUCAUGGUUAAGUGGGAAACGAUGUGGGAAGGCCCAGACAGCCAGGAUGUUGGCUUAGAAGCAGCCAUCAUUUAAAGAAAGCGUAAUAGCUCACUGGUCGAGUCGGCCUGCGCGGAAGAUGUAACGGGGCUAAACCAUGCACCGAAGCUGCGGCAGCGACGCUUAUGCGUUGUUGGGUA
Molecule: ribosomal RNA, 218 nt
Filed under: Salmonella enterica subsp. enterica serovar Berta
Lineage: Bacteria; Pseudomonadati; Pseudomonadota; Gammaproteobacteria; Enterobacterales; Enterobacteriaceae
Also listed under: 1 other name
Description: partial 23S ribosomal RNA
Rfam family: Bacterial large subunit ribosomal RNA
Source: RNAcentral